Molecule: ribosomal RNA, 429 nt
Filed under: uncultured bacterium
Lineage: Bacteria
Description: bacterial SSU rRNA
Rfam family: Bacterial small subunit ribosomal RNA
Source: RNAcentral
UGGGGAAUAUUGGACAAUGGGCGCAAGCCUGAUCCAGCCAUGCCGCGUGUGUGAAGAAGGUCUUCGGAUUGUAAAGCACUUUAAGUUGGGAGGAAGGGCGCUUGGCUAAUACCCAAGGGUUUUGACGUUACCAACAGAAUAAGCACCGGCUAACUUCGUGCCAGCAGCCGCGGUAAUACGAAGGGUGCGAGCGUUAAUCGGAAUUACUGGGCGUAAAGCGCGCGUAGGCGGUUUGUUAAGUUGGAGGUGAAAUCCCCGGGCUCAACCUGGGAAGUGCCUCCAAAACUGGCUGACUAGAGUACGGUAGAGGGUGGUGGAAUUUCCUGUGUAGCGGUGAAAUGCGUAGAUAUAGGAAGGAACACCAGUGGCGAAGGCGACCACCUGGACUGAUACUGACGCUGAGGUGCGAAAGCGUGGGGAGCAAACAGG